AUUGAACGCUGGCGGCAGGCUUAACACAUGCAAGUCGAACGAGUGGCGGACGGGUGAGUAAUGCUUGGGCAUCUAGCUUAUGGCUGGGGAUAACUACGGGCAAUUGUAGCUAAUACCGCGUACCAUAGGAUGAGCCCAAGGGGGAUUAGGUAGUUGGUGAGGUAAAGGCUCACCAAGCCGACGAUCGAUAGCUGGUCUGAGAGGCUGCACAGCCACACGGGGACUGAGACACGGCCGAGACUCCGACGGGAGGAAGCAGUGGGGAAUAGAGCGCAAUGGGGGCAACCUGUCGCAGACAUGCCGCGUGAAUGAAGAAGGCCUUCGGGUUGUAAAGUUCUGUCGGUAGCGAGGCGUUAACUACAGAAGAAGCACCGGCUAACUCCGUGCCAGCAGCCGCGGUAAUAC
RNAcentral lists this ribosomal RNA (405 nucleotides) under uncultured bacterium. Its description in RNAcentral is "partial 16S ribosomal RNA". It matches the Rfam family "Bacterial small subunit ribosomal RNA", at positions 30 to 526 of the family's 1533-position model. The record is from RNAcentral.